AUUGAACGCUGGCGGCAUGCCUUACACAUGCAAGUCGAACGGUAACAGGUUAAGCUGACGAGUGGCGAACGGGUGAGUAAUAUAUCGGAACGUGCCCAGUCGUGGGGGAUAACUGCUCGAAAGAGCAGCUAAUACCGCAUACGACCUGAGGGUGAAAGCGGGGAAUCGCAAGACCUCGCGCGAUUGGAGCGGCCGAUAUCAGAUUAGGUAGUUGGUGGGGUAAAGGCCCAUCAAGCCAACGAUCUGUAGCUGGUCUGAGAGGACGACCAGCCACACUGGGACUGAGACACGGCCCAGACUCCUACGGGAGGCAGCAGUGGGGAAUUUUGGACAAUGGGCGCAAGCCUGAUCCAGCCAUGCCGCGUGCGGGAAGAAGGCCUUCGGGUUGUAAACCGCUUUUGUCAGGGAAGAAAAGGUUCUGGUUAAUACCUGGGACUCAUGACGGUACCUGAAGAAUAAGCACCGGCUAACUACGUGCCAGCCGCCGCGGUAA
RNAcentral lists this ribosomal RNA (493 nucleotides) under uncultured bacterium. RNAcentral's name for it is "partial 16S ribosomal RNA". It matches the Rfam family "Bacterial small subunit ribosomal RNA", at positions 30 to 523 of the family's 1533-position model. The record is from RNAcentral.